RNAcentral lists this ribosomal RNA (468 nucleotides) under uncultured bacterium. RNAcentral's name for it is "partial 16S ribosomal RNA". It matches the Rfam family "Bacterial small subunit ribosomal RNA", at positions 28 to 507 of the family's 1533-position model. The record is from RNAcentral.
GACGAACGCUGGCGGCGUGCUUAACACAUGCAAGUCGAACGGAAAGGCCCUGCUUUUGUGGGGUGCUCGAGUGGCGAACGGGUGAGUAACACGUGAGUAACCUGCCCUUGACUUUGGGAUAACUUCAGGAAACUGGGGCUACUACCGGAUAGGAGCUCCUGCUGCAUGGUGGGCGUUGGAAAUUUUCGGCGGUUGGGGAUGGACUCGCGGCUUAUCAGCUUGUUGGUGGGGUAGUGGCUUACCAAGGCUUUGACGGGUAGCCGGCCUGAGAGGGUGACCGGCCACAUUGGGACUGAGAUACGGCCCAGACGCCUACGGGAGGCAGCAGUGGGGAAUAUUGCACAAUGGGCGGGAGCCUGAUGCAGCAACGCCGCGUGCGGGAUGACGGCCUUCGGGUUGUAAACCGCUUUCGCCUAUGACGAAGCGUGAGUGACGGUAAUGGGUAAAGAAGCACCGGCUAACUACGUG